GGGGCCACUCUGGGGAACGGAUCCAGUGAGGUGUUAGAAGAGUCAAGAGGAGAGAAACUUGCAGAAUUACGGAUCGAAAUUAGGAACCCAAAUUGAUGUCAAUUGAUCUAUUACCCCCCUUUAAUUGGCUUCUCCUGGGGCUAUUUUUCCUUUUUUGUUUUGUUUUUUUUUUUUUUUUUGAUCCCUCCUUCGCUUUUCAUGCGCUCACACAAAUUAAUCAACUCCCACCCCACAACGGGGAGCAGCGACGACGCACGCAACAACCAUCUGCCACCCUUGCGGUGGGCCCCGUGCAACCUGCUCUCUGCCAUUUAUCGCCCUCAAUUUGAUUUUGGUUUUUAUUUCUGUCCCUGUCGCUUGGGUUGAGUUGGGAGUGGAGCCUCUGUGGGGAUGCCGGCCACUGCGCCCCACAGAGAAGUCAGAGGGGAAUGGAGACGGCCGCUACCCGGCCUGGCUUCUGAGGACGGUGGCUGGUCCUCGGAGGUCCUGAGGGGCGGAGGAGGGGUGGGGUGGCAACUCCCCAGGUGUCAGGAAGGUGCUCGGUGGCCAUCAGGAUGGGGCCCCCGGCUGGCCCGAGGCCGGCUGGGGGGGAAGGGAAUGCAGAUGUGCGUAGAGGGGUUUCAUCAGGCUGGAGCAGGUGGCCGCCUUCCGCGCACUUGGGGAGCCCUCCCCCACCACUCGGUGACAUCUUGCCCGCCUCCUCAGCACCCCGUCUUGUCCCCAGGAGGCUUGGAGCUCUGAGGGGCCUCCUGGGGGCCAGGCGGGGUGAGGUCGGGGAGUAGGGGAGGUCAGAAGGGUGUGGGCUGCCCAGAGCCAAAAAGCUGCAUGUUGGUCCAUCUACUGGGAUUGCUUGGGCCCCCAGCGCAGCCCCCCUGCACGGCAGCCCGACUAGCAGUCUAGAGGCCCAAGGCUUGUGGGCCCUGGCAACGGGGCUGGCAUGACCCAGGGGGCGGUCCAUGCCAGUCCACCCGUGGCACAGAGGGUCCUUCGGCGAGUGCCCGGAGAAUGGGCCAUUCGGAACAUUGGACAGAAGCUCAAAGAGUCAAAUUGUCAUAAUUGGCGAACCACAGAUUGGCCUGAGAUCCAAAAAGACUUCGAGGCAUCCCAAAGUGUCUGCCCAUUCGGCCGGAUGCCCAUCCCACUCAGUGUUACAUUCUGCCUCGCUCGGGAUGGGUACUCCGGGGGCAUCCGCCGACGCUCCUCUGUGCCCCCAGUGAGCAGUUCUGUGCGGGUCAUCAACCAUCCUGACCCAGGCCCCCAUCUGACCUCCUGAGCCCUUGAUUGUGGCUGUCCAUCUUGUCUCUUCCCCGAGUCCCCCCCCCACAAACUGUCUUCAGCGGGACCCCCUCUUGGGUCCCUCCCUGUGCCAUCACCUGAAGACCCCCCACGCGCUGAACACCGAAUGUCACCUUGCCUGCUGUCCCAGACCAUCUUGCAGCGGCCCGUGUUCGCCCCAACUCUACCCCUUUAACAUGCUGGUAUUUCUGGCAAAAUCCAUUGCUUGGGUUUUGUCUUUAACUUUUAAUGCUCGCAAUCCCAAUAAAGCAUUCAAAUUUA
Molecule: long non-coding RNA, 1557 nt
Organism: Equus caballus (horse)
Lineage: Eukaryota; Metazoa; Chordata; Mammalia; Perissodactyla; Equidae
Source: Ensembl